This 1867-nucleotide long non-coding RNA is filed under the name Lupinus angustifolius (narrow-leaved blue lupine). Its description in RNAcentral is "long non-coding RNA (LANG_LNC003132)". The record is from RNAcentral. Lineage: Eukaryota; Viridiplantae; Streptophyta; Magnoliopsida; Fabales; Fabaceae.
AUGAAGUACCCUUGCUUAUCAGACGCUAAGGAAGAGAAAUGUUGGAAGAAUAGAUCUACAAAAUAAUGAAAUCAGUGAAAACACAUCUACAAAACAAGGAAAUCAAUGAAAAAUAACCAAAAAAUCAAUGAUAAAAAUAAUAAUAGAUCUACAAAAUUAAAACAUUUCUACUAAAUAAACAAAGAGAUUAAUAAAAAAUGUAUUUUAAACAUCAUAUUUACAAAAUAAGAAUAGAUCUACAAAAAAAAAUAAAAAUAAAUGCACUUUAAAGAAGAUGAUUGGAAGAGAAAGAAAAUGACGAUAAUGAAGAGACAUAAUGAAAUGAAACCAAAGAAUAUUAUUGGGAGAUAAAGAUUGUUGGAAGAGAAAGAGAAAGUCAUAGACCUCAAUACUAAUUCAAAUGCAAUUUAAGGUGUAAGUGAAGGAAAAGGUGACAUGUGGCAAAUGAUAAGGUGAUAUGAGUUUUUUUCGUUAUGUAGGUAAUAAAUAUAAUCAAGAAAGAGCAAAUAUAAUAUGAAAAUGUACAUAUAAUUACCAUGAAACCAUUUAGGAGGGGAAAAAGUGAAGGAGAAGGUGAUAUGUGGCAAAUGAUAAGGUGAUAGGAGUUGUUUUUAUUAUUUUUAUUAUAUAGGAAGAAAGAGCAAAUAUAGUGUGAAAAUGUACAUAUGAUUACCAUGAAACCAUUCAGGAGGGAAAAAAGUGAAGGAGAAAGUGACAUGUGACAAAUGAUAAGGUGAUAGUAUAUGAUUACACAUUUAUAAAAAAAAAUAAGUUGUCAAUUAUUGACCGAUAAAUGUUUAGACUAAAUGUAAUCAAAAGUUAUUUAUACUGCUAUGUACUCAAUUUAGUGUACAAUAUACUUUAACAUAAUCAUUUCGACAAAGUUAAAUUAUCAAUUAAAGAGCUUGUGUACAACCCACACUUUAAAAUCUCGCUUACAUGUAAAUAGUUUUAUAUUGUUAGUCUUCGCAAAUAAAUUGCAACCUCUAAUAUGUUAUUUGAAAUUUAAUUGAAAACAUUCAGUUUACUUGAAAAACAUUUUAUUGUGUUACUAAAAUAAUACUUUGAACAUUAUUCAACAAUAAUAAUAGAAAUUUUCCUAUCAAACGAAUAAAAAAAGGUUACAUAACCAUUGUUACUAUUUGCAUUUGAAGCAAUUAUUAAUUUAGUGGUUAUAGACACUUUUUAAAAUCACACUAACAUUUAACUUUUACAUGAAUGUGUAGUCAUUUCAAGAUAAAUGAGUGUUUUACAUUGUAAUGAAAUAGACAAUUGUAAAAAAUAUUGAAAAUAGAAUGUGUUUGAUAUACUAAUAAUCAUGCCAGUGAUUCACAUUUGAGAAUAGAAAGUGUUAAUUGCAUAGGAAAAUAUAGUUCAUUUUUGUAUCUCAUUGAAUAUUUGCAGCAAAAGUUGAAGGUCCCAAAAAGUUGAAUAGAUGACAUAUUCUAAAAACAAAAAAAGUAGAAUUCCACUACUUUUGCUAACAUGAAAUCACAUGAUUAAAGGUUUAGGAUAAUUGAGUUGUAAAAAUUAGAUGAGGGUUCUUAUUCCACAUGAAACUUAACAUUUAAGUAAAAGUAUCCAAAGGUAAAAUCAAAGUAAGGAAAUACCAUAUAUAAAGUUGUUGUUGUUACAGUUAGCUUGCAACAAUUAUAAAUGGCACGAAAUAAUACUUACUGGCUGAGCCACGACCAGAUCGCUCUCUUUAAGAAGUUUCGUGGCACUGUCCAAAAUAUGCAAGAAGACUAUCUACCACACCGUCUCCAGGAUAAAACAAUUCAAAUCUUUCUUAUCGAAUUCUUACUGCACUGUAAGAACCGAUCUCAAAUACACCCCACCACAAUAUAGCUACCAGCGCCAAUUCUCG